GACGAACGCUGGCGGCGUGCCUAAUACAUGCAAGUUGAGCGCUGAAGGUUGGUACUUGUACCGACUGGAUGAGCAGCGGACGGGUGAGUAACGCGUGGGGAAUCUGCCUUUGAGCGGGGGACAACAUUUGGAAACGAAUGCUAAUACCGCAUAAAAACUUUAAACACAAGUUUUAAGUUUGAAAGAUGCAAUUGCAUCACUCAAAGAUGAUCCCGCGUUGUAUUAGCUAGUUGGUGAGGUAAAGGCUCACCAAGGCGAUGAUACAUAGCCGACCUGAGAGGGUGAUCGGCCACAUUGGGACUGAGACACGGCCCAAACCCCUACGGGAGGCAGCAGUAGGGAAUCUUCGGCAAUGGACGAAAGUCUGACCGAGCAACGCCGCGUGAGUGAAGAAGGUUUUCGGAUCGUAAAACUCUGUUGGUAGAGAAGAACGUUGGUGAGAGUGGAAAGCUCAUCAAGUGACGGUAACUACCCAGAAAGGGACGGCUAACUACGUG
This 497-nucleotide ribosomal RNA is filed under the name uncultured bacterium. Its description in RNAcentral is "partial 16S ribosomal RNA". It matches the Rfam family "Bacterial small subunit ribosomal RNA", at positions 28 to 507 of the family's 1533-position model. The record is from RNAcentral.